CCUACGGGUGGCAGCAGUGAGGAAUAUUGGUCAAUGGGCGAGAGCCUGAACCAGCCAAGUCGCGUGAGGGAGUACUGCCCUAUGGGUUGUAAACCUCUUUUGUCGGGGAGCAAAAGCCGGACGUGUCCGGCUGUGAGAGUACCCGAAGAAAAAGCAUCGGCUAACUCCGUGCCAGCAGCCGCGGUAAUACGGAGGAUGCGAGCGUUAUCCGGAUUUAUUGGGUGUAAAGGGUGCGCAGGCGGAUGUUUAAGUCAGCGGUAAAAUCGUGGGGCUCAACCCCAUCCAGCCGUUGAAACUGGGGAUCUAGAGUGUGCGAGAGGUAUGCGGAAUGCGUGGUGUAGCGGUGAAAUGCAUAGAUAUCACGCAGAACCCCGAUUGCGAAGGCAGCAUACCGGUGCACAACUGACGCUCAGGCACGAAAGCGUGGGUAUCGAACAGGAUUAGAUACCCCAGUAGUC
This 458-nucleotide ribosomal RNA is filed under the name uncultured bacterium. RNAcentral describes it as "partial 16S ribosomal RNA". It matches the Rfam family "Bacterial small subunit ribosomal RNA", at positions 338 to 795 of the family's 1533-position model. The record is from RNAcentral.